This 75-nucleotide transfer RNA is filed under the name Paracoccaceae bacterium. RNAcentral describes it as "Rhodobacteraceae bacterium (sponge metagenome) tRNA-Val". It matches the Rfam family "tRNA". From Rfam's summary of the family: Transfer RNA (tRNA) molecules are approximately 80 nucleotides in length. Their secondary structure includes four short double-helical elements and three loops (D, anti-codon, and T loops). Further hydrogen bonds mediate the characteristic L-shaped molecular structure. tRNAs have two regions of fundamental functional importance: the anti-codon, which is responsible for specific mRNA codon recognition, and the 3' end, to which the tRNAs corresponding amino acid is attached (by aminoacyl-tRNA synthetases). tRNAs cope with the degeneracy of the genetic code in two manners: having more than one tRNA (with a specific anti-codon) for a particular amino acid; and 'wobble' base-pairing, i.e. permitting non-standard base-pairing at the 3rd anti-codon position. Lineage: Bacteria; Pseudomonadati; Pseudomonadota; Alphaproteobacteria; Rhodobacterales; Paracoccaceae. The record is from RNAcentral.
GGGCGGUUAGCUCAGGGGUAGAGCACUACGUUGACAUCGUAGGGGUCACUGGUUCAAUCCCAGUACCGCCCACCA